AGUGAACGCUGGCGGUAGGCCUAACACAUGCAAGUCGAACGGCAGCACAGUAAGAGCUUGCUCUUACGGGUGGCGAGUGGCGGACGGGUGAGGAAUACAUCGGAAUCUACUUUUUCGUGGGGGAUAACGUAGGGAAACUUACGCUAAUGCCGCAUACGACCUACGGGUGAAAGCAGGGGAUCUUCGGACCUUUCGCGAUUGAAUGAGCCGAUGUCGGAUUAGCUAGUUGGCGGGGUAAAGGCCCACCAAGUCGACGAUCCGUAGAUGGUGUGAGAGGAUGAUAAGCCACACUGGAACUGAGACACGGUCCAGACUACUACGGGAGGCAGCAGUGGGGAAUAUUGGACAAUGGGCGCAAGCCUGAUCCAGCCAUACCGCGUGGGUGAAGAAGGCCUUCGGGUUGUAAAGCCCUUUUGUUGGGAAAGAAAAGCAGCAGGUUAAUACCCCGCUGUUCUGACGGUACCCAAAGAAUAAGCACCGGCUAACUUCGUG
Molecule: ribosomal RNA, 492 nt
Filed under: uncultured bacterium
Lineage: Bacteria
Description: partial 16S ribosomal RNA
Rfam family: Bacterial small subunit ribosomal RNA
Source: RNAcentral